AUAGCCGCAGUACUCUGACUGUGCAAAGGUAGCAUAAUCAAUUGGCUUAUAAUUGAAGUCCCGAAUGAAAGAAAAUAUGGGGGCAAGCUAUAUCAUAAACGUAUCUAGAAAUUAUUUAAUAAGUGAAAAGACUUAUACCAAAAUAAUAGACGAGAAGACCCUAGAAAUUUGGUUAAUUAAACGAUAGGUUUUGUUGGGGCGACACAGUAGCAUUAAAAACCUACUGAGAAAAAUAAGAAAAUUAUAUUCAGUGUAAAAAAAUUACUCUAGGGAUAACAGCAUAAUAUUUAAAAGUUUGUGACCUCGAUGUUGGAUUAGGAUACUAUCACUUAAAAGGUUAUUAGUUUAGCUCUGUUCG
Molecule: ribosomal RNA, 358 nt
Filed under: Karaftohelix middendorffi
Lineage: Eukaryota; Metazoa; Mollusca; Gastropoda; Stylommatophora; Camaenidae
Description: partial 16S ribosomal RNA
Rfam family: Bacterial large subunit ribosomal RNA
Source: RNAcentral